AAUGGCAAGCAGCUAGGCAAGAUACCAAGACUAGAGUAUCCAAUUGUACCUCUUCUUUUAUAACUCAACUACUUUUUACACUUAUUUCUUGCAUUUCUUUGAUCUUCUCUUGCUGAAAGAUAAAGAAGUGCUGAUGAUCUACCCCUAUGCCUCUUUAAACGUAAAGGUUUAGUUCAUAUAUUGUGAAUCAGUACUUCUUCCAAGAACUUAAUUGGCUGAUAUAUCGAAACCCCAUAUCCAUAAACAUCCUGGAGUACUGUAAGCAGAAAGAAACAGAAAAAUGGGAGUUGCAGGCGCUUUGGAGUACUUGUCUGACAUGCUAAGCAGUGUGAAAAAGCGCAAGAAAAAGAAGCAGAUACAAACUGUAGCACUCAAAGUGAGGAUGGACUGUGAGGGCUGUGAACGUAAGGUCAAGAGCGUCCUCUCCGGAGUUAAAGGUAUAUAUAUAUAUAUUAAAAUUGCCAUUGCCUUUUCUUCAUGCAUGCAGCUUCAGUAUUCUAAUGGUUAAUUACAUCUUCAUUCUGUGUCCUUUUAGGAGUUAAAUCUGUGGAUGUAGACUUGAAGCAGCAGAAGGUGACCGUGACUGGAUAUGUAGAGCCAAAGAAAGUGUUGAAGGCAGCUCAAUCUACCAAAAAGAAGGUAGAGCCGUGGCCUUAUGUCCCCUACAGUUUAGUGGCAAAUCCAUACGUUUCUCAGGCCUAUGACAAGAAGGCUCCUCCUAAUCAUGUCAGAGCCGUUCCGGUCACCGCAACCAUCACUGAGACCACCGUGGACGAUCACUACACUAAUAUGUUCAGUGAUGAGAACCCAAAUGCUUGCUCCAUCAUGUAGAUUAUCAACAAUAAUUAAUAACUAAUUAAGCCAGAUAUAUUUUAUACAAAGUAAUUAAUUAUAAAGGUAAUCCAGGUGUGACAAUGCUCCAUUUUCUUUUUCAAGAAGACAAGGCCGUUAGAUUGUUUUGUGGUGGACGUGGAGGUUUAUAUGUGGGCAGUGUUGUUGUUUAUUAUGAAAUAGCGUGAGCUGUUACGCGACAGCAACGUUUGUCUUAAAUAAUGGUGCAUUUUUUUAACAGAAAAUAAUGUUGGAUUAAGUUCUGUGAUUGAAGGUUGAUUCAGUCAAAAAAAGAUUGAAA
This 1132-nucleotide unclassified non-coding RNA is filed under the name Hevea brasiliensis (rubber tree). The record is from RNAcentral. Lineage: Eukaryota; Viridiplantae; Streptophyta; Magnoliopsida; Malpighiales; Euphorbiaceae.